Molecule: long non-coding RNA, 277 nt
Organism: Hippocampus zosterae (dwarf seahorse)
Lineage: Eukaryota; Metazoa; Chordata; Actinopteri; Syngnathiformes; Syngnathidae
Exons: 2
Source: RefSeq, a predicted model, not a curated record
CGAGAGACUCUUCUGCGCGGUAUGCAAGGUGGGGGAGGUAUUGACUUACUGGAGGCUGCGUCGGAAGCGGAGAUGCUCUUCCCCCUUGCAAGGCGUGUCCGCGAGGCAACGGCAGGGAAGGUGAUCGGCUGCCACUGCUCCCGGUGAAGUUCGCCGGUUCGUGUUCGGCUAAAGCGGCGGAAAACAAAAGGGAGACGCUGGCGUUAUGUCUUGGUCCUAAAGUUAGCUCUGCGCCGCAACAAAAGGGAGCGUCUGAGGAGUGACCACGUCGGUCAGG